AUCCAACUGACGAGUCUCAAAUGGGACGAAACGCGCAUCUUGAAU
RNAcentral lists this non-coding RNA (45 nucleotides) under Schistosoma mansoni. The record is from RNAcentral. Lineage: Eukaryota; Metazoa; Platyhelminthes; Trematoda; Strigeidida; Schistosomatidae.